UGGUUGGGAAGCCAAGGUCGUCUUUUAUAUAUUUAAAAAUUUGUAUUACAUUCUUUGAAAUAUAUGCAAAAAUACGUCCACACUGUAUGGAAAAAUGAGAAAAAAAUAUAAGAAAAAAGUCUGAAAGUUAUAGAUGAAAAUAUUACAUAAAGAUAUAUUUACAUAUACACAAAUUGAGAGUGGACAGCUGCUAUAAUAAUACCUAGGUGAUAUUCCAACAAAAAUAAUCACAGAUUGUUGUUUAGCCCGAGUUUCUAAAAACAUUCACUUUUGAAAAUCAAUGUUCACUACUGCUGAAAUGGGGCACUCCAUGUCAGAUUUUCAAAGUCCAUACAGAUUUGCGUAACAUAGUCUCCUUGGAAUUAUGAUUAAAACUGUGAGAACUGAAGUCAGUCAAAAACACAGUACCAAGUAACCACUAACAAGAGGUCACCUUCAUGUUUUAGAGCAAAGCACCGGAAGCACUCAGGAGCACCUUGGAAAUCCACAUGGAAGGCAAUCCAAACUUCCUGGAAUGUAUGGCCACCACCACACGAGGCACACAUAUUAUUUUACAAUCACUGGAUUUACAAGUAUUGGGGGAGAAAAUAAAUACAAAAUGCAACUGAGACCAAUCCACAUACCAAGACUCAGUUUUGUGCAAAUGAAACCUCUGUAGAAAGCAGCCUCUGAGCUCUGCGGCACUUUUGUCUUCAGCCUCACGGUGGAGAUAAGUGCAGCCCCGGCUCCUGGGAGGGAGGCACUGCCACUGAGUAGCCUCCAUCUGAAAGGAAGCAGGAGCUCUGGGCACAAUGGUUAAAGAUGUGGAUCAAAUGCACAAGAAGGACAAAGGCCAUCUUGUCACUGACCAGGAAAACAUCCUCCGUCUUGGGCACUCUUGUCACAUCUGACAAUUAUCAGGUUAUCAGUCGUGGGCUCCUACCCAGAUUAGGUCCAAUGCGGCCAGGAAAAAGCUUAGGUUCUGGCAGUCGACGGCCAUGAGCAAGGGUGGACGUGGAAAAUGCAAUGAGGAAAACGUAUCCAAGUCUUCAAAGGUAGGGAAAGAGAGUGUAACUGAUCUAUGAAACGCAGCCAGGUAAAGGGAAGAACAUUCCAACCAAGAUUAUCAAGACAUUUCCUCCUUCACAGACUCAAAAGAAUCAAGACUCUUCUUUGAUUGGAGGCACUCAUGUGGGGCGAUUCUGCCUCGAUGUGGCGGUUGCUCCCCAUCACUGGACUUUUCCAGCUCCCUCUCCGAGAAUCCGGUGCAUGCCACUCGGAACAAAUACUCUCAUCUCCAUAAGGUGCCCUCUCCUGCGCAUAGUGGAGAGGUUUUAUAACGUGAGGGUGAAACCUUUCAAAGUGGAAACCUGUGAUUUCUUUCUAUUUGGACAAUCAAAAGGACUUUAAGACCUUUUCUGCUUUGGGUAAAUCAACGAUCUGCACAAGACACAUUUUACAGAACAAAGGACAAGAGAGUCCUCAUUCACAUCCUGGUCAUGUCACUCCUGGGGACUCCGCAUUGCAACCUCCACCUCCUGGGCCC
Molecule: long non-coding RNA, 1525 nt
Filed under: Macaca fascicularis (crab-eating macaque)
Lineage: Eukaryota; Metazoa; Chordata; Mammalia; Primates; Cercopithecidae
Description: lncRNA (ENSMFAG00000051266.1)
Source: RNAcentral